This 77-nucleotide transfer RNA is filed under the name Vitreoscilla sp. RNAcentral describes it as "tRNA-Pro". It matches the Rfam family "tRNA". Rfam says of the family: Transfer RNA (tRNA) molecules are approximately 80 nucleotides in length. Lineage: Bacteria; Pseudomonadati; Pseudomonadota; Betaproteobacteria; Neisseriales; Neisseriaceae. The record is from RNAcentral. RNAcentral also lists the same sequence under 371 other names.
CGGGGCGUAGCGCAGCCUGGUAGCGCACUUGCAUGGGGUGCAAGGGGUCGCGAGUUCGAAUCCCGCCGCCCCGACCA